Molecule: long non-coding RNA, 1176 nt
Organism: Callithrix jacchus (white-tufted-ear marmoset)
Lineage: Eukaryota; Metazoa; Chordata; Mammalia; Primates; Cebidae
Source: Ensembl
AUGCCAUUUGAUAAACACUGUGCAUUGGCUCACAUUGCCAUUAGUGAAGCAAGGAUUACAGGAAGAUGUUUACUGUUGAAUACAUGUGGCACGUCAUCCAAGGGCCCCGGUGAAGUGCCAUUCCUCAAGACAUUCUGGGAGGUGCUGGAGUCUCCUGAGAUAAAGCAGAGAAAGAGAAAGGUAGCAUCGUGCCACCUGCCUCAGGCCUAAGGGCAUUUGAGGUUGCGGAGAGAAGAUCAGAUCAAAAGUUACAAAACGUACCUGGCAAUUAAGCUGUGGUCAUGUGAAAUCCUCCAAGCCUCUGAGAUAGGGGUGAAGCUUAUGGCUCUCCAGGAUUGCUGAUGUCUGUGAGCCAAAGAAGGAAGAACACCCUGAGGCAGGGGCUGACCGAUCUGCCCACAGCUGAUGGGCUGGGAACUUGCCGGUGGAUCCUUCCCCUCUCCAAAUGGUGAAUUGUAAAUAUAAGCACAAAGAGGAAGCAGCAAUGAGCAUUUCCUCUGUCGCUCAUCUUCAAUAAAACCACAGACUCCUUUUGCAGCUCCUUUCUGCUCUUCUCCCUGGCUGGCUGAGGGAUCACUGUGCAUCUGUCACUGUACUUACUAGAAUUUGCCCCUUCUCCUAUAAUAAAGGAUGAGUAUUCUCAGCCCCUUCUCCACCUCCUUCUAUGAAAGUGGUGUUUCCGACAGAUAAGAAUCUGCAAGCCUGAAAGGUGGGUCUCCAAGCUGCAGGUGGAGCCAUGAUCUCCCUCCUGUUGGGAUACUUGAAAGUAAGAUUUUUCCAUCCAUAACCUACUGCCCACCUUCUGACUGAGGGGCUAGGCUGAACAGGGGUCCAGUGGUCACUGGAUGGAAGGACAUACCCUCACUUGGCAUACUUUUCCGUUUGUUUCUGUAGCACUUACUGCCUUUUGUCAAAAUUUAUAAUCCACGUGGUACUUAUUGUUGGUUGUCCAGCACCCAACAUAUGAGACUGACAAUAGAUAUUUGUUAAGCAAAGUUUAGGAUGACUGAAAUAUGGUACAGGAUAAGUAGGAAAUCGGGUUUGAGAUGGAAGGCCAAGGAUUAAUGCUAACUUGGCAUUUUCUAAGGGGCUUCCAAGGGUCAUGAAAGCCAAGUUUUAAAAAACCAGGAAAGAAUAAAAAAGUCAAAACUACCAUUUGAGAGUAUCACUCUUGUG